GGGGACGACACGGUAUCGACGUGGGCUACUAGACGCAGUGUGGCGAGCCGAGGAUGGUGGUUGGCCUCGUAAAUCACUCCACCAAGCCAUUAACUGGCAACAAAACUGUUUUGGACUUCGGUCCUCAAACCCUCGCUGCUUAAUCCCAGCGACAGCCCUCUGAAAGCACCGCCUUUAGCGUUCUGAGCUGCUGUAAUAAAUAAGGGCUAGCUCGAGUUCAAGAACUUACGGCUCGAGCGAAAUUAAGUAAGUUAUCGAGGGCGGAAAGUUUGUCUGUAGACGCGCUUCCCUUCAGAACAAAAUACAGACUACGCUCGUAGAGACCUGCUGAUAGGGUUUGCGGACGUGAGUUCGACUCUCACCGUCUCCACCA
Molecule: transfer-messenger RNA, 373 nt
Filed under: Deinococcaceae
Lineage: Bacteria; Thermotogati; Deinococcota; Deinococci; Deinococcales
Also listed under: 2 other names
Description: JACMOA01 sp014378225 Standard tmRNA
Rfam family: transfer-messenger RNA
About the family: Bacterial tmRNA, also known as 10Sa RNA or SsrA, is named for its dual tRNA and mRNA-like properties.
Source: RNAcentral